Molecule: long non-coding RNA, 307 nt
Filed under: Gossypium raimondii (Peruvian cotton)
Lineage: Eukaryota; Viridiplantae; Streptophyta; Magnoliopsida; Malvales; Malvaceae
Description: long non-coding RNA (GRAI_LNC006504)
Source: RNAcentral
CUUAAUACAGUUAACCUUCCUCUCACCCAUAGUAAUUCCCCCUCUGCUGAUAACAUGGCCUAAGUAGUUCACUUCCGUAGCCCCAAAGCUGCACUUACUGGGUUUUACAUAGAGCUGGUUGGAUUGAACAACAUCCAACACCUAUCGAAGAUGCUGUAAAUGAGUAUCCCUAUCAGGUGAGUACACCAGUAUAUCAUCAAAAAACACCAGUACAAAUUUUAUAAGGAAUGAUUGAAAAUUUUGAUUCAUUAAACUCUGAAAUGUGGCAGGAGCGUUGGUUAGACCAAACGGCAUAACCAAAAAUUCG